Molecule: long non-coding RNA, 439 nt
Filed under: Aotus nancymaae (Ma's night monkey)
Lineage: Eukaryota; Metazoa; Chordata; Mammalia; Primates; Aotidae
Description: lncRNA (ENSANAG00000039549.1)
Source: RNAcentral
CUGAGCGGGAGGAGACGAAGGGACGGUGGACCGGGCGCCAUCCGCGCACCGGGCAGGCGCGGAGACCCGCGUGGGACAGACACCUGGAGCGCAGCUGCCAGGUAUGAACAGUAAUGGAACAUAUUUUGGUUAUGAGUCACCUGGUGGACAGUGGAUUGAAUGAACCGUAUCCAUCCCCAUCAUGAUGUACAACACCAAGUCUCCUCACUACACUUGUGUUCUGAUUAGCAGCCAAAUAAAUGACAGUCAGAACUUCAGCUAAGGUACAAUAAGCUUUUGCAGUGGCGUGGCACCUGGUCUCUUUCUACAAGGAAAGUUCAACACACAGGACAGUUCUCGACACAUUGGAUUGGUUUGAUGAUCCCACCUGCAAUAGGUAUGUAAAACCUCCAAUACACAUUUAUUGACACUUGAAUCAUAACCAUGGAUGUAUAUUUGU